UACGUAGGGUGCAGGCGUUAAUCGGAAUUACUGGGCGUAAAGCGUGCGCAGGCGGUCUUUUAAGUCAGAUGUGAAAUCCCCGGGCUUAACCUGGGAACUGCGUUUGAAACUGAAAGGCUAGAGUGUGGCAGAGGGGGGUGGAAUUCCACGUGUAGCAGUGAAAUGCGUAGAGAUGUGGAGGAGCACCGAUGGCGAAGGCAGUCCCCUGGGCCUGUACUGACGCUCAUGCACGAAAGCGUGGGGAGCAAACAGG
Molecule: ribosomal RNA, 253 nt
Filed under: uncultured bacterium
Lineage: Bacteria
Description: partial 16S ribosomal RNA
Rfam family: Bacterial small subunit ribosomal RNA
Source: RNAcentral